RNAcentral lists this transfer RNA (72 nucleotides) under Candidatus Margulisiibacteriota bacterium. Its description in RNAcentral is "tRNA-Gly". It matches the Rfam family "tRNA". From Rfam's summary of the family: Transfer RNA (tRNA) molecules are approximately 80 nucleotides in length. Their secondary structure includes four short double-helical elements and three loops (D, anti-codon, and T loops). Further hydrogen bonds mediate the characteristic L-shaped molecular structure. tRNAs have two regions of fundamental functional importance: the anti-codon, which is responsible for specific mRNA codon recognition, and the 3' end, to which the tRNAs corresponding amino acid is attached (by aminoacyl-tRNA synthetases). tRNAs cope with the degeneracy of the genetic code in two manners: having more than one tRNA (with a specific anti-codon) for a particular amino acid; and 'wobble' base-pairing, i.e. permitting non-standard base-pairing at the 3rd anti-codon position. The record is from RNAcentral. Lineage: Bacteria; Bacillati; Candidatus Margulisiibacteriota.
GCGGGAGUAGCUCAGUGGUAGAGCUUUUGCUUGCCAAGCAAAAGGUCGCGGGUUCGAGCCCCGUCUCCCGCU